AGAAAAUCCAGAUUUUGGUGUGCGAUGUUGUGGCUAUAUCCAGGUGUAUAUGAGAUAAAAUUUGUUGUUGAUGGAAACUGGACAACAAAUCCUCAACGGGAAUCAGUGCGAAGGGGUCACAUAUGUAACAACAUUUUAAGAGUAGAUAGAUGAUGCAUUCUGGUUCAGGUCAUAACUGCCAGAUGUAUAUAACAAGGAUACAUAUCAAUUCAAGAUAAUGGUUUGCUGUGAACUUCUGAAUUAUCAAUUUUGACAGCAAUAUGAACAAGAGAGGACACAAGCACACAAGAAAUA
Molecule: long non-coding RNA, 294 nt
Organism: Vicia villosa (hairy vetch)
Lineage: Eukaryota; Viridiplantae; Streptophyta; Magnoliopsida; Fabales; Fabaceae
Exons: 3
Source: RefSeq, a predicted model, not a curated record